CGUGCUAAUCUGCGAUAAGCGCCGGUAAGGUGAUAUGAACCGUUAUAACCGGCGAUACCCGAAUGGGGAAACCCAGUGUGACUCGUCACACUAUCAUUAACUGAAUCCAUAGGUUAAUGAGGCGAACCGGGGGAACUGAAACAUCUAAGUACCCCGAGGAAAAGAAAUCAACCGAGAUUCCCCCAGUAGCGGCGAGCGAACGGGGAGGAGCCCAGAGCCUGAAUCAGCAUGUGUGUUAGUGGAAGCGUCUGGAAAGGCGCGCGAUACAGGGUGACAGCCCCGUACACAAAAGCGCAUGUGCUGUGAGCUCGAUGAGUAGGGCGGGACACGUGGUAUCCUGUCUGAAUAUGGGGGGACCAUCCUCCAAGGCUAAAUACUCCUGACUGACCGAUAGUGAACCAGUACCGUGAGGGAAAGGCGAAAAGAACCCCGGCGAGGGGAGUGAAAAAGAACCUGAAACCGUGUACGUACAAGCAGUGGGAGCCCCAC
RNAcentral lists this ribosomal RNA (489 nucleotides) under Salmonella enterica subsp. enterica. Its description in RNAcentral is "partial 23S ribosomal RNA". It matches the Rfam family "Bacterial large subunit ribosomal RNA", at positions 57 to 585 of the family's 2925-position model. The record is from RNAcentral. Lineage: Bacteria; Pseudomonadati; Pseudomonadota; Gammaproteobacteria; Enterobacterales; Enterobacteriaceae.